Molecule: ribosomal RNA, 546 nt
Filed under: uncultured Bifidobacterium sp.
Lineage: Bacteria; Bacillati; Actinomycetota; Actinomycetes; Bifidobacteriales; Bifidobacteriaceae
Description: bacterial SSU rRNA
Rfam family: Bacterial small subunit ribosomal RNA
Source: RNAcentral
UCUCCUGGAAACGGGUGGUAAUGCCGGAUGUUCCGCAUGAGCGCAUGCGAGUGUGGGAAAGGCUUUUUGCGGCAUGGGAUGGGGUCGCGUCCUAUCAGCUUGUUGGUGGGGUAACGGCCUACCAAGGCGUUGACGGGUAGCCGGCCUGAGAGGGCGACCGGCCACAUUGGGACUGAGAUACGGCCCAGACUCCUACGGGAGGCAGCAGUGGGGAAUAUUGCACAAUGGGCGCAAGCCUGAUGCAGCGACGCCGCGUGCGGGAUGGAGGCCUUCGGGUUGUAAACCGCUUUUGUUCAAGGGCAAGGCACGGUUUCGGCCGUGUUGAGUGGAUUGUUCGAAUAAGCACCGGCUAACUACGUGCCAGCAGCCGCGGUAAUACGUAGGGUGCAAGCGUUAUCCGGAUUUAUUGGGCGUAAAGGGCUCGUAGGCGGUUCGUCGCGUCCGGUGUGAAAGUCCAUCGCUUAACGGUGGAUCCGCGCCGGGUACGGGCGGGCUUGAGUGCGGUAGGGGAGACUGGAAAUUCCCGGUGUAACGGUGGAAUGUGUA